CGAUGAAGCCCACUUGUGGGUGGAUUAGUGGCGAACGGGUGAGUAACACGUGAGUAACCUGCCCUUGACUCUGGGAUAAGCCUGGGAAACUGGGUCUAAUACCGGAUAUGACCUUCCAUCGCAUGGUGGUUGGUGGAAAGCUUUUGUGGUUUUGGAUGGACUCGCGGCCUAUCAGCUUGUUGGUGAGGUAAUGGCUUACCAAGGCGACGACGGGUAGCCGGCCUGAGAGGGUGACCGGCCACACUGGGACUGAGACACGGCCCAGACUCCUACGGGAGGCAGCAGUGGGGAAUAUUGCACAAUGGGCGCAAGCCUGAUGCAGCGACGCCGCGUGAGGGAUGACGGCCUUCGGGUUGUAAACCUCUUUCAGUAGGGAAGAAGCGUAAGUGACGGUACCUGCAGAAGAAGCGCCGGCUAACUACGUGCCAGCAGCCGCGGUAAUACGUAGGGCGCAAGCGUUAUCCGGAAUUAUUGGGCGUAAAGAGCUCGUAGGCGGUUUGUCGCGUCUGCCGUGAAAGUCCGGGGCUCAACUCCGGAUCUGCGGUGGGUACGGGCAGACUAGAGUGAUGUAGGGGAGACUGGAAUUCCUGGUGUAGCGGUGAAAUGCGCAGAUAUCAGGAGGAACACCGAUGGCGAAGGCAGGUCUCUGGGCAUUAACUGACGCUGAGGAGCGAAAGCAUGGGGAGCGAACAGGAUUAGAUACCCUGGUAGUCCAUGCCGUAAACGUUGGGCACUAGGUGUGGGGGACAUUCCACGUUUUCCGCGCCGUAGCUAACGCAUUAAGUGCCCCGCCUGGGGAGUAC
Molecule: ribosomal RNA, 803 nt
Filed under: Pseudarthrobacter sp.
Lineage: Bacteria; Bacillati; Actinomycetota; Actinomycetes; Micrococcales; Micrococcaceae
Description: bacterial SSU rRNA
Rfam family: Bacterial small subunit ribosomal RNA
Source: RNAcentral